This 468-nucleotide ribosomal RNA is filed under the name uncultured bacterium. RNAcentral describes it as "partial 16S ribosomal RNA". It matches the Rfam family "Bacterial small subunit ribosomal RNA", at positions 28 to 507 of the family's 1533-position model. The record is from RNAcentral.
GACGAACGCUGGCGGCGUGCUUAACACAUGCAAGUCGAACGGAAAGGCCCUGCUUUUGUGGGGUGCUCGAGUGGCGAACGGGUGAGUAACACGUGAGUAACCUGCCCUUGACUUUGGGAUAACUUCAGGAAACUGGGGCUAAUACCGGAUAGGAGCUCCUGCUGCAUGGUGGGGGUUGGAAAGUUUCGGCGGUUGGGGAUGGACUCGCGGCUUAUCAGCUUGUUGGUGGGGUAGUGGCUUACCAAGGCUUUGACGGGUAGCCGGCCUGAGAGGGUGACCGGCCACAUUGGGACUGUGAUACGGCCCAGACUCCUACGGGAGGCAGCAGUGGGGAAUAUUGCACAAUGGGCGGAAGCCUGAUGCAGCAACGCCGCGUGCGGGAUGACGGCCUUCGGGUUGUAAACCGCUUUCGCCUGUGACGAAACGUGAGUGACGGUAAUGGGUAAAGAAGCACCGGCUAACUACGUG